CAGAUGUGAAAGACCCCGGGCCGUCAACCUGGGAAGUUGCAUUUGAAACUAGGCAAACUAGAGUACUGUAGAGGGGGGUAGGAAUUUCAGGUGUAGCGGUGAAAUAGCGUAGAGAUCUGAAGGAAUACCGGUGGCGAAGGCGGCCCCCUCGGACAGAUACUGACACUCAGAUGCGAAAGCGUGGGGAGCAAACAGGAUUAGAUACCCUGGUAG
This 213-nucleotide ribosomal RNA is filed under the name uncultured bacterium. Its description in RNAcentral is "partial 16S ribosomal RNA". It matches the Rfam family "Bacterial small subunit ribosomal RNA", at positions 589 to 793 of the family's 1533-position model. The record is from RNAcentral.